RNAcentral lists this ribosomal RNA (253 nucleotides) under uncultured bacterium. RNAcentral's name for it is "partial 16S ribosomal RNA". It matches the Rfam family "Bacterial small subunit ribosomal RNA", at positions 524 to 776 of the family's 1533-position model. The record is from RNAcentral.
UACGGGGGGAGCAAGCGUUGUUCGGAUUUACUGGGCGUAAAGGGCGCGUAGGCGGCACUGCAAGUCAGUUGUGAAAUCUCCGGGCUUAACCCAGAAAGGUCAACUGAUACUGCAGGGCUAGAGUGCAGAAGGGGCAACUGGAAUUCUCGGUGUAGCGGUGAAAUGCGUAGAUAUCGAGAGGAACACCUGCGGCGAAGGCGGGUUGCUGGGCUGACACUGACGCUGAGGCGCGAAAGCCAGGGGAGCGAACGGG